Molecule: ribosomal RNA, 490 nt
Filed under: uncultured bacterium
Lineage: Bacteria
Description: partial 16S ribosomal RNA
Rfam family: Bacterial small subunit ribosomal RNA
Source: RNAcentral
AUUGAACGCUGGCGGCAUGCCUUACACAUGCAAGUCGAACGGCAGCAUGAUCUAGCUUGCUAGAUUGAUGGCGAGUGGCGAACGGGUGAGUAAUACAUCGGAACGUGCCCUGUAGUGGGGGAUAACUAGUCGAAAGAUUAGCUAAUACCGCAUACGACCUGAGGGUGAAAGUGGGGGACCGCAAGGCCUCAUGCUAUAGGAGCGGCCGAUGUCUGAUUAGCUAGUUGGUGAGGUAAAGGCUCACCAAGGCGACGAUCAGUAGCUGGUCUGAGAGGGCGAUCAGCCACACUGGGACUGAGACACGGCCCAGACUCCUACGGGAGGCAGCAGUGGGGAAUUUUGGACAAUGGGCGAAAGCCUGAUCCAGCAAUGCCGCGUGUGUGAAGAAGGCCUUCGGGUUGUAAAGCACUUUUGUCCGGAAAGAAAUGGCUCUGGUUAAUACCUGGGGUCGAUGACGGUACCGGAAGAAUAAGGACCGGCUAACUACGUG